AGUGAACGCUGGCGGUAGGCCUAACACAUGCAAGUCGAACGGCAGCACAGUAAGAGCUUGCUCUUACGGGUGGCGAGUGGCGGACGGGUGAGGAAUACAUCGGAAUCUACUUUUUCGUGGGGGAUAACGUAGGGAAACUUACGCUAAUACCGCAUACGACCUACGGGUGAAAGCAGGGGAUCUUCGGACCUUGCGCGAUUGAAUAAGCCGAUGUCGGAUUAGCUAGUUGGCGGGGUAAAGGCCCACCAAGGCGACGAUCCGUAGCUGGUCUGAGAGGAUGAUCAGCCACACUGGAGCUGAGACACGGUCCAGACUCCUACGGGAGGCACCAGUGGGGAAUAUUGGACAAUGGGCGCAAGCCUGAUCCAGCCAUACCGCGUGGGUGAAGAAGGCCUUCGGGUUGUAAAGCCCUUUUGUUGGGAAAGAAAAGCAGCAGGUUAAUACCCCGCUGUUCUGACGGUACCCAAAGAAUAAGCACCGGCUAACUUCGUG
This 492-nucleotide ribosomal RNA is filed under the name uncultured bacterium. RNAcentral describes it as "partial 16S ribosomal RNA". It matches the Rfam family "Bacterial small subunit ribosomal RNA", at positions 29 to 507 of the family's 1533-position model. The record is from RNAcentral.